UGCGAGUCAUAUGUUCUUCGUGAACAUGGCGUACUGCUCAGUAACACGUGGAUAACCUGCCCUUGGGACCGGGAUAACCCCGGGAAACUGGGGAUAAUACCGGAUAACGCAUAUCUGCUGGAAUGCUUUAUGCGUAAAAUGGAUUUGUCUGCCCAAGGAUGGGUCUGCGGCCUAUCAGGUAGUAGUGGGUGUAAUGUACCUACUAGCCUACGACGGGUACGGGUUGUGAGAGCAAGAGCCCGGAGAUGGAUUCUGAGACAUGAAUCCAGGCUCUACGGGGCGCAGCAGGCGCGAAAACUUUACAAUGCGGGAAACCGUGAUAAGGGGACACCGAGUGCCAGCAUCAUAUGUUGGCUGUCCAGAUGUGUAAAAUACAUCUGUUAGCAAGGGCCGGGCAAGACCGGUGCCAGCCGCCGCGGUAACACCGGCGGCCCGAGUGGUGAUCGUGAUUAUUGGGUCUAAAGGGUCCGUAGCCGGUUUGGUCAGUCCUCCGGGAAAUCUGACGGCUCAACCGUUAGGCUUUCGGUGGAUACUGCCAGACUUGGAACCGGGAGAGGUAAGAGGUACUACAGGGGUAGGAGUGAAAUCUUGUAAUCCCUGUGAGACCACCUGUGGCGAAGGCGUCUUACCAGAACGGGUUCGACGGUGAGG
RNAcentral lists this ribosomal RNA (651 nucleotides) under uncultured Methanosarcina sp. RNAcentral's name for it is "bacterial SSU rRNA". It matches the Rfam family "Archaeal small subunit ribosomal RNA", at positions 52 to 702 of the family's 1478-position model. The record is from RNAcentral. Lineage: Archaea; Methanobacteriati; Methanobacteriota; Methanomicrobia; Methanosarcinales; Methanosarcinaceae.